AAAGUAGGGGAUCGCAAGACCUUGCGCUCUUGGAGUGGCCGAUGCCUGAUUAGCUAGUUGGUGGGGUAAGGGCCUACCAAGGCCACGAUCAGUAGUUGGUCUGAGAGGACGACCAGCCACACUGGGACUGAGACACGGCCCAGACUCCUACGGGAGGCAGCAGUGGGGAAUUUUGGACAAUGGGCGAAAGCCUGAUCCAGCUAUGCCGCGUGAGUGAAGAAGGCCUUCGGGUUGUAAAGCUCUUUCUGUCGAGAAGAAAAGGUCGCGACUAAUAAUCUCGACUCAUGACGGUAUCCACAGAAAAAGCACCGGCUAACUACGUGCCAGCAGCCGCGGUAAUACGUAGGGUGCGAGCGUUAAUCGGAAUUACUGGGCGUAAAGGGUGCGCAGGCGGUUUUGUAAGUCAGAUGUGAAAUCCCCGGGCUUAACCUGGGAAUUGCGUUUGAAACUACAAAGCUAGA
Molecule: ribosomal RNA, 461 nt
Filed under: uncultured ammonia-oxidizing beta proteobacterium
Lineage: Bacteria; Pseudomonadati; Pseudomonadota; Betaproteobacteria
Description: bacterial SSU rRNA
Rfam family: Bacterial small subunit ribosomal RNA
Source: RNAcentral